This 67-nucleotide microRNA precursor is filed under the name Bombyx mori (domestic silkworm). RNAcentral's name for it is "mir-2774 microRNA precursor family". It matches the Rfam family "mir-2774 microRNA precursor family". Lineage: Eukaryota; Metazoa; Arthropoda; Insecta; Lepidoptera; Bombycidae. The record is from Rfam by way of RNAcentral.
ACAACAUUCGCACCGUUAGUCUACCGAGCAAUAUUACCCGCUCGUUGGAAGAUCUUCCCUUUGUCGU